Molecule: long non-coding RNA, 1157 nt
Organism: Triticum aestivum (bread wheat)
Lineage: Eukaryota; Viridiplantae; Streptophyta; Magnoliopsida; Poales; Poaceae
Exons: 6
Source: RefSeq, a predicted model, not a curated record
ACUGUCAUGGGGUAGAACGAGGUCUUUGCAGUAGCUUGGAUGGGUUCUCCACCAAUCAUAUAUCUGUCAUAUUAAUCUCAUGCAUUAGUUUUGUAAGCCAUGGUGUGUUAGCAGCAAAGACAUGAGAAGUGGGUUUCAUUCUGCACAAUCAUCUAUGUGCAUUGUUCUCUCCAGCAGAUUAGUGGUCCUCUAAUUAACAACCCCACCACGGCUAUGAGCAUACCUUUAUUCAACUUUUUUAUGUGUUGUGGUAGAUCUACCAUAUGUCAUAGAUAAGAGCAGCAGAUUAAUUUGAUGGGCAUCAUAUGGACAUGUUCUAAAUUGUACAGUUACAUUCUUCUUCACAUUUCUGUUGUUACCCGUAGCAUUUAUCUACUAUCCUGCUAUUGCACUACUUUACAGAGGAAAAUUUAUUCGACCAUUCAUUUUUCUUUUGCUUUGGAACUAAAUGGUAGGAUUAAUCCUGGGACAUACCAUGGUUUAGCCAUAUAAGGAGUACACAUGGUGCUCUUACAAAUAUUCUUCCUUUUAGUUCCAAACUCUAAGAUGAAUAGAUUCUAUCUCACAUUCAUAAUAAAUUGUUUGCUGGCGGUGAAAAUUGUGUGUAGGCUCAUAAUAGAAUCUGAUCUUUUGCUUUUUUUUUUUAAUUCGGUUCUGCUCUUGCUAAGGCUUCAGUAACAAUUGUGCUAUGAAAGGAGCAAGGAUCAGUAACCUGAUUUAUGUAAGCGAUGACGAAGAUGGGCACCGCUGCAAACGUCGCCAUGCUAAAAAGACAAAGGUUCGAUGUUGCAGGGCUCUGUUAUCUAACACAUCGUGAAAAAGACAAGGAUCAAAAUGACUCGAUUUACACCAGUGAUCAUGAAGUCAGUUCAUCUCCCACCUGAUCGACGCCGAUGCCACGGUCCUCGAGCAGAACAGGGCUUGAGUCUCAGUUUGAUCUUACGGUUCUACGGCUCAAAGGUUGAUGACUGACAUGAGGCACUACCCAGUUAAAUCUUCGUCCAAGAUGACAACAAUCCUCUUGGUCUUAAAAAUUUUGUCGAGGCGGCAGGGAUCAAAGAAUAUCAUAUACAUGUCUUCGUCUUCAAAAUUAAAAGGGGAAACCAUCUCUCACUGUGACCUUGCUGUGAUCUCUCCAAUCUACGCCAAUCUACAAC